CUAGCACUUUAGGAGGCUGAGGUGGCCAGAUUGACUGAGCUCAGGAGUUUGAGACCAGCCUGGGCAACAGGAUGAAACCCCAUCUCUACUAAAACAUACAAAAAAUUAGCCGGGGGUGGUGGUGCUUGCCUAUAGUUUCAGCUCCUCGAGAGGUUGAGGCAGGAGAAUCACUUGAACCUGGGAGGCAAAGGUUGCACUGAGCCGAGACUGUGCCACUGCACUCUAGCCUGGAUGACAGAGUGAGACUCCAUCUCAAAAAAAAAAAAAAAAACUACCGUGUGGUAUUGAGAAUUAAAUGAAUAGUGUGUGUAUAUUGUGUGCAAUGCAUUUGGAAAGGCACCUGGGGAGAAGGAAGAGGGAUUCAAGGGAAGAGGCAGGAAGAAGCCCCAGAGCUGGUGUCUGAAAGGUGUCACACCAUAGCCUUGAUGCACGACAGAACUCCAGGAUGCAUGUGUAAUGCACAAGAGGAAACUCCAGGGAGAGGGUUCACUCCAAGAUAAAAUGGCUGUUUGGUGCAACUAUGAGUGCUGGGCCAAGCCUGCCGCAUUGACUUUCCUCAUUUAAGCAUGACCCAGGAAGAGCAAGAAAGUUAUCAUAUUGGGAAGAUUCUUGAAGAUGGGUCCAGAGACAUCCCAGUGAUGAACUGCUUGGACCUACCUGAGCCCAAAGUGAGAAGUUGCACAUCCCAGGAGAACGAAGGAAAAAAAUCUCCAAUUAAAAUUACAUUUUUCUUUUUCUUGGAAAAAUAAGACUUUGAAAUAGAAAUUAUAUAGUUAUAAACAAUAUUUAUCGUCCCCCUAUAAAAGAAAAAUAUUAUCAAAAUAAUCUAUCUCUGCAGCCUCAGUUCCUUCAAUGUGUCAUUGGUGCCACAUUACUCCAUGCUCAUCAGUUUAUUGAAACUGUGGCCUCAAGGUUCAGUGAUGGACAACAAUUCCAUGAGGACAAUAUCCUGUUUCCUACCUUGUUCUAUGCAACCUCUUCGCAUAAUAUGCUGCUGCUCUUCCUGGAGCCUCUACCACCUUGCUAAAACAUUUCUCUUCCCACUGCUACUUUUCUACUCUGUCAAGAAUAUCUUUUUUUUUUCCUCUUUGAACAAUUAUUAAUCUCUUGGCAGUUUCUUCAAUCAUGUUUCAUUCUUGCCCAUAUCUUUGACCAUAAUUCCUCCUUCCACACCAGACUUUCCCCUAGAUAAUCUUUUCUACCAUCAGCCUCUAGUUAUCACCUCUAUCAGUGGUUCUCAAAAUUUUUAAUACAUUAUGCUGGGCCCUGUGGCUCACGCCUGUAAUGUUAGCACUUUGGGAGGCUAAGGCAGGCGGAUCACUUGAGGUCAGGAGUUUGAGACCAGCCUGGCCAAAAUGGUAGAACCCCAUCUCUACUAAAAAUAAAAAACACAAAAAUUAGCCAGGUGUGAUGGUGCAGGCCUGUGGUCCCAGCGACUCAGGAGGCGGAGGCAGGAGAAUAGCUUGAACCAGG
Molecule: long non-coding RNA, 1473 nt
Filed under: Homo sapiens (human)
Lineage: Eukaryota; Metazoa; Chordata; Mammalia; Primates; Hominidae
Description: HSALNT0041463
Source: RNAcentral